CAAUAGCGGAGGAAAAGAAACCAACAGGGAUUGCCUUAGUAGCGGCGAGUGAAGCGGCAAAAGCUCAAAUUUGAAAUCUGGCGCCUUCGGUGUCCGAGUUGUAAUUUGAAGAUUGUAACCUUGGGGUUGGCUCUUGUCUAUGUUUCUUGGAACAGGACGUCACAGAGGGUGAGAAUCCCGUGCGAUGAGAUGCCCAAUUCUAUGUAAGGUGCUUUCGAAGAGUCGAGUUGUUUGGGAAUGCAGCUCUAAGUGGGUGGUAAAUUCCAUCUAAAGCUAAAUAUUGGCGAGAGACCGAUAGCGAACAAGUACAGUGAUGGAAAGAUGAAAAGAACUUUGAAAAGAGAGUGAAAAAGUACGUGAAAUUGUUGAAAGGGAAGGGUUUGAGAUCAGACUCGAUAUUUUGUGAGCCUUGCCUUCGUGGCGGGGUGACCCGCAGCUUAUCGGGCCAGCAUCGGUUUGGGCGGUAGGAUAAUGGCGUAGGAAUGUGACUUUACUUCGGUGAAGUGUUAUAGCCUGCGUUGAUGCUGCCUGCCUAGACCGAGGACUGCGAUUUUAUCAAGGAUGCUGGCAUAAUGAUCCCAAACCGCCCGUCUUGAACAA
Molecule: ribosomal RNA, 600 nt
Filed under: Meyerozyma guilliermondii
Lineage: Eukaryota; Fungi; Ascomycota; Pichiomycetes; Serinales; Debaryomycetaceae
Description: eukaryotic LSU rRNA
Rfam family: Eukaryotic large subunit ribosomal RNA
Source: RNAcentral